AAUUGUUUUGUACCAUUUGACAUGUUUUAAUUUCUUCUUAAAACUUCUACUUCUUUUCUUAGUGAUUUUGUUUUGUGUUUCCAUCAUUGGGUUUUUGGUUUUCUUCUUUCGAGGAACUAAGAUGACAAGUAUAGUUAAAUUCAAACCUGCACUACGGGUUAAACAAAUGCAGGGGACACAGUUGCACACAGCCUGCCUGGGUUUCUGGUGUGGUAUUCAGCAGAGGCUUGCAGAAAGAACUUUCAUGAAUUUGGGAGCAGUCCAGAGCAAAAUGAGGGGAGAAAAAUCCAAUGAAGAACAUGUGCUCCCCAGUGCUCCAAUGUUUUACGUUUCCAAAAGCAAGAGUGUUCAAGCUGCAAUAUAAUAUGAGAAACUGAAAACUUUCUUCUCUGAUCUAGGGAUUAUGGACAAUCAAAUUAUAUAUACCACCUUUUGUCUACAGAGAGCUAUCAAAGGAAGUAUAUUUAGAUUUAAGUUCACAGCUGAAAAGGAAAUAUACCUGAUAUAGCUGGCGUGAGAAUUCCAUCCCCAAUAACCAUGGAGGAGCCAACAAGAACAAGUAAAAGAAGUGCAUUCUUCCUGAAAGAGUGUCCUUCCAACCAUCUCUUUGUCUUUGCAGCAAAUGAUUUUUCAUAAAUUGUAGAACGGCUAUAAGUUGUUAGCUGUUCAUCUGUAUGAUCUUGGUUAGGGAUAGUCUUUACAUUAGCGUGCCGACAAAGUAGUGAAUAAAGUGCAAAUGUUCCACCUGCAACACAAAAUAUAUUAAUUCAAAAGAUGCUUUCACUCCC
This is a long non-coding RNA of Hevea brasiliensis (rubber tree), 788 nucleotides long. RefSeq lists it as uncharacterized. The record is from RefSeq and is a predicted model, not a curated record. NCBI's taxonomy places the organism in Eukaryota, Viridiplantae, Streptophyta, Magnoliopsida, Malpighiales, Euphorbiaceae. The transcript has 5 exons.